RNAcentral lists this ribosomal RNA (497 nucleotides) under uncultured bacterium. Its description in RNAcentral is "partial 16S ribosomal RNA". It matches the Rfam family "Bacterial small subunit ribosomal RNA", at positions 28 to 507 of the family's 1533-position model. The record is from RNAcentral.
GAUGAACGCUGGCGGCGUGCCUAAUACAUGCAAGUCGAGCGAACGGACGAGAAGCUUGCUUCUCUGAUGUUAGCGGCGGACGGGUGAGUAACACGUGGAUAACCUACCUAUAAGACUGGGAUAACUUCGGGAAACCGGAGCUAAUACCGGAUAAUAUUUUAAACCGCAUGGUUCAAAAGUGAAAGACGGUCUUGCUGUCACUUAUAGAUGGAUCCGCGCUGCAUUAGCUAGUUGGUAAGGUAACGGCUUACCAAGGCAACGAUGCAUAGCCGACCUGAGAGGGUGAUCGGCCACACUGGAACUGAGACACGGUCCAGACUCCUACGGGAGGCAGCAGUAGGGAAUCUUCCGCAAUGGGCGAAAGCCUGACGGAGCAACGCCGCGUGAGUGAUGAAGGUCUUCGGAUAGUAAAACUCUGUUAUUAGGGAAGAACAUAUGUGUAAGUAACUGUGCACAUCUUGACGGUACCUAAUCAGAAAGCCACGGCUAACUACGUG